Long non-coding RNA from Gossypium raimondii (Peruvian cotton), 668 nucleotides. RefSeq lists it as uncharacterized. NCBI's taxonomy places the organism in Eukaryota, Viridiplantae, Streptophyta, Magnoliopsida, Malvales, Malvaceae. The transcript is spliced from 2 exons. The record is from RefSeq and is a predicted model, not a curated record.
UUUUUCCGAGCAUCGUUUAACUUAGAUUUAGUCGAAAACUAUUCUCUUAGAUUACUGGUUUCGAAAAGCUCUGUUCUAGAUUGUGUUAUUCCGAGCCUAUAAUAGAGCACUACAUAAACAAUUUAAUUCGAGCUCCUUAAGUGGUGUUAUCCUACAUCUCAUAAGCAGUUGUGUCCAUCCCCUUGUGAGGUCGUCCUCGUGCAAACCCUUGUUGAGCUACAAGUGAGAGAGAAUGUUAAAGUAUUGAGUUUUGUGUGGUCUUACAUUCAAGUUAAGCCCCUUUGCCUAUUGCUAGCUGAUUUUAGGUUGGAUGCUAAUCUCAUGUGAGGUUGACCACCCUUUUGCUUAGCGUUCUUUAGUUUCUUAUUUCCCUUUGCUCCACAGGCCAUAUUGGAGAUGCUAUUUUCCAAAUCCUCAAGCAUUAGAAUCUUUGCUGCUAAAAGAUCAUGCCGUAGCUAUGAAUCAGUGAACGGUGUUUGACUCAGUAUGAACCCGGAAAGGUUGUUCCUGCCCAUAGACCUUCCGAAUUUUCUAUACCAUCAACCUCUGCUAUACAUACAGGACCAAGAGUGUGGAAUUCCAAUUCCAGUUGCUGAAAUUAAAUCAGAGUUAUUGUAAGAAGAAAUACGUGAAUUAAGUCAAGACUUAAUCGAUAAUUUUUUUAAUUA